This 253-nucleotide ribosomal RNA is filed under the name uncultured bacterium. RNAcentral's name for it is "partial 16S ribosomal RNA". It matches the Rfam family "Bacterial small subunit ribosomal RNA", at positions 524 to 776 of the family's 1533-position model. The record is from RNAcentral.
UACGGGGGGGGCAAGCGUUGUUCGGAAUUACUGGGCGUAAAGGGCGCGUAGGCGGUUGGAUAAGUCAGCUGUGAAAACCACGAGCUUAACUCGUGGCCUGCAGUUGAGACUGUCUGGCUUGAGUGUGGGAGAGGAGAGUGGAAUUCCUGGUGUAGCGGUGAAAUGCGUAGAUAUCAGGAAGAACACCCGUGGCGAAGGCGGCUCUCUGGGACGGUACUGACGCUGAGACGCGAAAGCGUGGGGAGCGAACAGG